GUACUUUAUAAUGAAGUUCUUUGA
Molecule: small nuclear RNA, 24 nt
Filed under: Arabidopsis thaliana (thale cress)
Lineage: Eukaryota; Viridiplantae; Streptophyta; Magnoliopsida; Brassicales; Brassicaceae
Description: snRNA_01102
Source: RNAcentral